UACAGAGGGGGCAAGCGUUGUUCGGAUUUACUGGGCGUAAAGAGCGUGUAGGCGGCCAAACAGGUCCGUUGUGAAAACUGGAGGCUCAACCUCCAGACGUCGACGGAAACCGUAUGGCUAGAGUCCGGAAGAGGAGAGUGGAAUUCCUGGUGUAGCGGUGAAAUGCGCAGAUAUCAGGAAGAACACCUAUGGCGAAGGCAGCUCUCUGGGACGGUACUGACGCUGAGACGCGAAAGCGUGGGGAGCGAACAGG
Molecule: ribosomal RNA, 253 nt
Filed under: uncultured bacterium
Lineage: Bacteria
Description: partial 16S ribosomal RNA
Rfam family: Bacterial small subunit ribosomal RNA
Source: RNAcentral